AUCUGUAAACACUGGCCAUUGAAGAAUACGGUUUCUGAGAAUUUCCACUCUGAAUUCACUUUUAGUUCAGUGUUAUCGCCACCCUGUGGAUUUCUUGGUUAAGGAAGACAGCAGAAUCCAUAUAUCAUUUGACAAUUGUUAGUAACAUAGAACACCAUGAAAUAGGUGGUAAAUCAUAGGAAGGAAAUGUUCCGGUUAAAGCCACCUCAAACUCCGGAGGCCAUUCCUGGGUAGCAGCAAUGCUGUUAUUGUUCUCUAUAAGCUAUCUACCUCGCUGGCUUUGAGCACAACCCAGGAAGAAGUUCAAAACCAAGAAAAUGGUGAUUGGGAAGACCAGGAUGCGCGAUGGCAAGUUGAGGGCAAGCCGGGUACGUGUCCUGAAUUUAUAGAAUCUUUUGACACAAAGCAACAGAGCCACAGUCAAGACUGAAGUCAAAAGGAAUUUAGACCCCGUCUGGGCAAACAGGCCUCUAAGCAACAAUCUAAGAUUUCCACCUAUUGUUCUGGGGUUCCUUGUAUAAAUGAUUAUGACUGCAGAGCUCUUAGGAAGUGCUGUGGUACCUUUAGAUGUGGCCUGAGGUGCACACAUCCUCUUAUGAUUGACCCUGUAUUUUUCAAUUCACCUCCACAAUCCAAGGCAUAAAUAUUGGAUGGAGAAAUGGAUUCAGAUGGAGGCAUCACUGGGCUUAUUCUUGACUCAUCUCAGUCCAAACAUUACUCUCUCAAUCGUUGUUCUUAAAAUCUGCAUAUUAAAAGCUCAG
This is a long non-coding RNA of Symphalangus syndactylus (siamang), 761 nucleotides long. RefSeq lists it as uncharacterized. Lineage: Eukaryota; Metazoa; Chordata; Mammalia; Primates; Hylobatidae. The record is from RefSeq and is a predicted model, not a curated record.